ACGAACGCUGGCGGCAUGCCUAACACAUGCAAGUCGAACGAGACCUUCGGGUCUAGUGGCGCACGGGUGCGUAACGCGUGGGAACCUGCCCUUAGGUUCGGAAUAACUCCCCGAAAGGGGUGCUAAUACCGGAUAAUGUCUUCGGACCAAAGAUUUAUCGCCUUUGGAUGGGCCCGCGUUGGAUUAGCUAGUUGGUAGGGUAAAAGCCUACCAAGGCGACGAUCCAUAGCUGGUCUGAGAGGAUGGUCAGCCACACUGGGACUGAGACACGGCCCAGACUCCUACGGGAGGCAGCAGUGGGGAAUAUUGGACAAUGGGCGAAAGCCUGAUCCAGCAAUGCCGCGUGAGUGAUGAAGGCCUUAGGGUUGUAAAGCUCUUUUACCCGGGAUGAUAAUGACAGUACCGGGAGAAUAAGCUCCGGCUAACUCCGUG
Molecule: ribosomal RNA, 432 nt
Filed under: uncultured bacterium
Lineage: Bacteria
Description: partial 16S ribosomal RNA
Rfam family: Bacterial small subunit ribosomal RNA
Source: RNAcentral